Molecule: ribosomal RNA, 240 nt
Filed under: uncultured bacterium
Lineage: Bacteria
Description: partial small subunit ribosomal RNA
Rfam family: Bacterial small subunit ribosomal RNA
Source: RNAcentral
AGGAUAAACGCUGGCGGCGUGCCUAACACAUGCAAGUCGAACGUCCUACGCAAGUAGGGAGUGGCGGACGGGUGAGUAACACGUGGGCAAUCUACCUUUCGGUGAGGAAUACCGGCGAGAAAUCGCCGACAAUACCGCAUACGCUUCGCAAGAAGCAAAGUCGCAAGACGCCGGAGGAGGAGCCUGCGCCCGAUUAGCUGGUUGGUGAGGUAAGAGCUUACCAAGGCGACGAUCGGUAGC